This 779-nucleotide long non-coding RNA is filed under the name Cucumis sativus (cucumber). RNAcentral describes it as "long non-coding RNA (CSAT_LNC002229)". The record is from RNAcentral. Lineage: Eukaryota; Viridiplantae; Streptophyta; Magnoliopsida; Cucurbitales; Cucurbitaceae.
CCACCAUCUUUACCAUUUCCUUUCCCACCUUUGCCUCCUUUAUUUCCUUCACCUCCAAGUCCAUCUCAACCAUCUGCACCACCUCCGCCACCCCCAUUUAGUCUCAGUGAUCCAAGGACCUGGAUACCCUAUGUUUCUCCAUUUUCUCCUCCACCGCCUCCGCCAUCAUCACCACCUCCAUUCAGUCUCAGCGAUCCAAGAACCUGGAUACCCCAUCUUCCUCCAUUUUCCCCUCCCCCACCUCCUGCUUUCGAUCCCCGAGACCCGAGAACCUGGAUUCCUAAUAUCCCUCCAUUUUCUCCUUCCCCACCUCCUGCAUUUGAUCCUAGAGACCCCAGAACAUGGAUUCCCCGUAUUCCUCCAUUUUUCCCUCCCCCACCUCCAUCAUUCGACCUUAGAGACCCCAGAACAUGGAUACCCCAUUUGCCACCAUCCCCUCCACAAGGCCCUCAAAAUCAAAAACCCUAAUAUUGUGCUUUGUUUUCCCUCCUCUUUACCACUACAAAUUUUCUUUCAAUAUGAUAUUGUUUGAUAUGUGCUUAUGUAUUUUUCCGGUGCCCUGUCCAUUCGGAAAAACAACAAACACCUUGUGUGCCAAUAUAAUUCAUGUACAGAAAACAAAAGGGGAUUUGUCUGUUAUUAAUAUGAUAAAUCAAGAAGCUGGAUAUCAUCAAUGUAUUAUUUCAUUAAUCUUCAAAUUUGCAAGAAAAGUUUACAUUCUUAAGUCUUUAGAGAAUGAUACUAAAAGGAAAAGAAAGAAACUCAUAGACCGUCAGUAC